RNAcentral lists this ribosomal RNA (501 nucleotides) under uncultured Rikenellaceae bacterium. RNAcentral's name for it is "bacterial SSU rRNA". It matches the Rfam family "Bacterial small subunit ribosomal RNA", at positions 904 to 1382 of the family's 1533-position model. Lineage: Bacteria; Pseudomonadati; Bacteroidota; Bacteroidia; Bacteroidales; Rikenellaceae. The record is from RNAcentral.
CGCCUUGCCAGCCCGCUACAGAACUUAAAGGACUGACGGGGCCCGCACAAGCGGAGGAACAUGUGGUUAAUUCGAUGAUACGCGAGGAACUUACCUGGGCUAGAACGCAUUCGGAAUCAGGCCGAAAGGUCUGCGCCAGCGAUGGCCGGUUGCGAGGUGCUGCAUGGUUGUCGUCAGCUCGUGCCGUGAGGUGUCGGGUUAAGUCCCAUAACGAGCGCAACCCCUACUGCUAGUUGCCAGCGGGUCAUGCCGGGGACUCUAGCGGAACUGCCAGCGUAAGCUGCGAGGAAGGUGGGGAUGACGUCAAAUCAGCACGGCCCUUACGUCCAGGGCUACACACGUGUUACAAUGGCCAGUACAGAGGGCAGCCACCCCGCGAGGGGGCGCUAAUCCUAAAAGCUGGUCCCAGUUCGGAUCGGAGUCUGCAACCCGACUCCGUGAAGCUGGAUUCGCUAGUAAUCGCGCAUCAGCCACGGCGCGGUGAAUACGUUCCCGGGCCUU